RNAcentral lists this long non-coding RNA (218 nucleotides) under Gossypium barbadense (sea-island cotton). RNAcentral's name for it is "long non-coding RNA (GBAR_LNC022823)". The record is from RNAcentral. Lineage: Eukaryota; Viridiplantae; Streptophyta; Magnoliopsida; Malvales; Malvaceae.
CCACUGUUUAUUACAGAAUAUCUUAUGAACAGAUAAGGUUUCAGAGUUGUUCUCGCGUAACCACAGUUUAGCUACUGUCUCAGUUUCCUAGGGCUUAGUUUACCCUACAGUCUCAGUUUUGUAGCCUUUACGCUAUAUUAUCUAUAGUACUAUCUCUAAGGUUUAGUACUAACUACAGUACAGUUCAGUAUAUAAAACAGAAUAGUACUUACAGCCUU